AUGGACGACGACGGUCAUCUUCUUCACGCCUGGCGUCGGCGCGUCCGAGCACGCAUACGUGCUCAAGGUGAGCCACUCGCCCCUUCCCCACUUGCUCGCGCCGCCGCGUAUGCCAGCUUCCGCAAGGUGGUCACCGCCUUGGUAGGAGGACAGGAAGAGCAGUGUGAGCUGGCGGGGAUGGAGGCGUCCGGCCCGCCGUUCCUCUGGUCACUGCUCGGGCGUGCCCAUGGCGUGCGUGCCUUCUUCAAUGACCAGAGGAUGAACGCACAAAAGGUGCUCGAUGGAAUGCUUACUUCCCAAAGUUGGUCAAGUGAGCUAUAA
This 321-nucleotide ribosomal RNA is filed under the name Triticum aestivum (bread wheat). RNAcentral's name for it is "partial small subunit ribosomal RNA". Lineage: Eukaryota; Viridiplantae; Streptophyta; Magnoliopsida; Poales; Poaceae. The record is from RNAcentral.